RNAcentral lists this ribosomal RNA (100 nucleotides) under uncultured bacterium. RNAcentral describes it as "partial 16S ribosomal RNA". It matches the Rfam family "Bacterial small subunit ribosomal RNA", at positions 392 to 508 of the family's 1533-position model. The record is from RNAcentral.
UAACGCCGCGUGGAGGAUGACGGCCUUCGGGUUGUAAACUCCUUUUCUGUGGGAAGAUAGAAGACGGUACCACAGGAAUAAGUCUCGGCUAACUACGUGC